This 563-nucleotide ribosomal RNA is filed under the name uncultured Glomus. RNAcentral describes it as "SSU rRNA". It matches the Rfam family "Eukaryotic small subunit ribosomal RNA", at positions 548 to 1114 of the family's 1831-position model. Lineage: Eukaryota; Fungi; Glomeromycota; Glomeromycetes; Glomerales; Glomeraceae. The record is from RNAcentral.
UUGGAGGGCAAGUCUGGUGCCAGCAGCCGCGGUAAUUCCAGCUCCAAUAGCGUAUAUUAAAGUUGUUGCAGUUAAAAGCUCGUAGUUGAAUUUCGGGAUCAAUAUAUCGGUCAUGCUUAGGUAUGUACUGGUAUUAUUGAUUUCUCCCUUCUGAAGAACCAUGAUGUCAUUUAUUUGAUGUCGUGGGGAAUCAGGACUGUUACUUUGAAAAAAUUAGAGUGUUUAAAGCAGGCUUUCGCUUGAAUACAUUAGCAUGGAAUAAUGAAAUAGGACGUUUGAUUCUAUUUUGUUGGUUUCUAGGAUCGACGUAAUGAUUAAUAGGGAUAGUUGGGGGCAUUAGUAUUCAAUUGUCAGAGGUGAAAUUCUUGGAUUUAUUGAAGACUAACUACUGCGAAAGCAUUUGCCAAGGAUGUUUUCAUUAAUCAAGAACGAAAGUUAGGGGAUCGAAGACGAUCAGAUACCGUCGUAGUCUUAACCAUAAACUAUGCCGACUAGGGAUCGGAUGAUGUUAAUUUUUUAAUGACUCAUUCGGCGCCUUACGGGAAACCAAAGUGUUUGGGUUC